CGAACGCUGCGGCGUGCUAACACGAUGCAAGUCGAACGCGAAAGGGACUUCGGUCCUGAGUAAAGUGGCGGCACGGGUGAGUAACGCGUAGAUAACCUGUCUUCAUGUCUGGAAUAAUACGCCAAAGGGGUACUAAUACCGGAUAUUCUUGCUUUUCAUAAGUUAUGCAAGCAAAGGUGGCCUCUGCAUAUGCUACUGCAUGAAGAGGGGUCUGCGUACCAUUAGCUAGUAGGUGGGGGUAAUGGCCUACCUAGGCGACGAUGGUUAGCGGGUCUGAGAGGAUGAUCCGCCACACUGGCACUGGAACACGGGCCAGACUCCUACGGGAGGCAGCAGUGAGGAAUAUUGCGCAAUGGGGGAAACCCUGACGCAGCGACGCCGCGUGAGUGAGGAAGGCCUUCGGGUCGUAAAGCUCUGUCAAGAGGAAAGAAGUGUACAAUGGCUAAUACCUGUUGUAUUUGACGGUACCUCUAAAGGAAGCACCGGCUAACUCCGUGCCAGCCGCCGC
This 508-nucleotide ribosomal RNA is filed under the name uncultured bacterium. Its description in RNAcentral is "bacterial SSU rRNA". It matches the Rfam family "Bacterial small subunit ribosomal RNA", at positions 30 to 518 of the family's 1533-position model. The record is from RNAcentral.